UCUUUCACUUGCGCCCAUGAUCGGCGCGUCUCCUCGGUCGCCUGUGCGCGCCUAUUUCCUCGAGCGCUUCACGGCACAUCAAGCGCUCUGUCUUUUGUUUUUUUUUGCGUUUUCUACCUCUUUGGACGGCGGGCUCUGUCCGUCUCUCCACCCCUCUUAGCGGCCCUCGCCUCCCAUCGAUCGGAACCCGCCGCUUUCUUCGAUUUGUUUCGUCACGGCUCCCUCGAUCUGCCCGUUCUUUCCUGUCCUGCUCUCUUCCGCUGUCCUCGAUGCCCUGUGCGCCUGCAGAGCACCGACUGCAUACUGUGAACAACGUACUUUCUCGUGUCAUCCGCCUCCGGCACACAUCCGAGGCAAGGCACGAGGGGGGGGGACGGCUCGGCUCGCUGGCCUCUUUUUUGUUUCCCCAGUUACUCGGUCGUCUCCCUGUCCUUGAUUUUUCUUCUGAUCAUCCCGGCAACUGUACUUCAGGUAGUGGUUGUUUGCUGAACGCUCCUAGUGCGGUCGGGCGCACAUCAUCCGUCUCGAUACAAAACCGUGUCAUGUAAAGCAUGCAGUCCAUUCUUUUCCUUCCUCGGCCCCUCUCCGUUCCCCGCGGCGGUCUUGUGCGCAGUACGAGGCGAAGCGGAGACACCCCUCUUAAGCGGGCUCGGACAAGAGGCCGCAACAGUGUUUCCUUCAGUACCAUUUGUGGUGCUCCACCCCCACCCAAACCAUUCAUCGUUUCCCGUUCCGUCCCUUUACCACGCCCCCCCCACCUAACCCUGAAAGACUUCUCUAUUUCUUCUCGCUUCUCUUUCUGCUCGCCGUACUGUGCAG
RNAcentral lists this unclassified non-coding RNA (819 nucleotides) under Leishmania donovani. Its description in RNAcentral is "gene:unknown". Lineage: Eukaryota; Euglenozoa; Kinetoplastea; Trypanosomatida; Trypanosomatidae. The record is from RNAcentral.